Molecule: ribosomal RNA, 966 nt
Filed under: uncultured alveolate
Lineage: Eukaryota
Description: partial Bacterial large subunit ribosomal RNA
Rfam family: Bacterial large subunit ribosomal RNA
Source: RNAcentral
GGGAACUGAAACAUCUAAGUACCCGGAGGAAAAGAAAACAAUAGUGAUCCCGUAAGUAGUGGCGAGCGAACGCGGGCCAGCCCAAACCGUCCAUGUCAAGGCAUGUACGGGGUAGUAGGGCCGACAUAACCAAAGGAACGAGAACCGGAACAGGAUGGAAAGCCUGACCAUAGGAUGUGAAAGUCAUGUACGGGCAAACGGACCAGCGGGGUCGGUACCCUGAGUAGGUGGGGGCAGGUGAAACCCCCUCUGAACCAGCCGGCACCAUCCGGCAAGGCUAAAUACCAUUGGAAGACCGAUAGUGGACCAGUACCGUGAGGGAAAGGUGAAAAGAACCCCGAACAGGGGAGUGAAACAGACCCUGAAACCAUACGCCUACAAGCGGUCGGAGCAGUGCUUGCACUGUGACGGCGUGCCUUUUGCAUAAUGAGCCUACGAGUUGCCCUUACUAGCGAGGUUAAGGACUUCAGGUCCGGAGCCGCAGCGAAAGCGAGUCUUAACAGGGCGCUUUAGUUAGUAGGGGCAGACGCGAAACCGUGCGAUCUACCCAUGGGCAGGCUGAAGCUGUGGUAACACAUAGUGGAGGGCCGAACCCGUUGACGUUGAAAAGUCUUGGGAUGACCUGUGGGUAGGGGUGAAAGGCCAAUCAAGCUCGGAAAUAGCUCGUACUCCCCGAAAUGCAUUUAGGUGCAGCGUUGCAUGGUUCUUACUGGAGGUAGAGCUACUGGAUGGCCAAUGGGCCCUACAAGGUUACUGACGUCAGCCAAACUCCGAAUGCCGGUAAGUCAACAGUGUGGCAGUGAGACGGCGGGGGAUAAGCUCCGUGCGUCGAGAGGGAAACAGCCCAGAUCGCCGACUAAGGCCCCUAAGCGUGUGCUAAGUGGAAAAGGAUGUGCAGUCGCGAAGACAACCAGGAGGUUGGCUUAGAAGCAGCCACCCUUGAAAGAGUGCGUAAUAGCUCACUGG